CCCUUAGAGUUUGAUCCUGGCUCAGAACGAACGCUGGCGGCGUGGAUUAGGCAUGCAAGUCGAGCGAGAACCGUAGUGCUAGCAAUAGUACUUGGGGACAGCGGCGAAAGGGUGAGUAAUAAGUAGUCAAUCUACCCAAUUGACCGGGAUAACGUCGGGAAACUGGCAGUAAUACAGGAUAGUCUUGAGAAUUCGCAUGUUUUCUCAAGUAAAUGGUGGCCUCUCAUAGAAGCUUCCGCAGUUGGAGGGGACUACUUCCUAUUAGUUUGUUGGUGGGGUAAUGGCCUACCAAGACAAUGAUGGGUAGCCGACUUUAGCGAGUGACCGGCCACACUGGGACUGAGACACUGCCCAGACUCUUACGGGAGGCUGCAGUCGAGAAUCUUCUGCAAUGAACGCAAGUUUGACAGAGCGACGCCGCGUGUAGGAUUGAAGGCCCUUGGGUUGUAAACUACUGUUACAGGUUAAGAAAUAUCAGGUUAUUAAUAGUAGCUUGGUUUGACAAAGGCCUGGGAGAAAGCCACGGCUAACUUCGUGCCAGCAGCCGCGGUAAGACGAAGGUGGCAAGCGUUGUUCGGAAUUACUGGGCAUAAAGCGCGUGUAGGCGGUCAAUUAAGUCUGAUGUGAAAGCCCUCGGCCCAACCGGGGAAUGGCGUCUGAUACUGAUUGACUUGAGAGUUGGAGGGGUGCACGGAAUACCUGGUGGAGCGGUGAAAUGCGUUGAUAUCAGGUGGAACACCAAAGGCGAAGGCAGUGCACUGGCC
RNAcentral lists this ribosomal RNA (764 nucleotides) under uncultured bacterium. RNAcentral describes it as "bacterial SSU rRNA". It matches the Rfam family "Bacterial small subunit ribosomal RNA", at positions 1 to 734 of the family's 1533-position model. The record is from RNAcentral.